GACAGAGGGUGCAAACGUUGUUCGGAAUUACUGGGCGUAAAGCGCGUGUAGGCUGUUUUGCAAGUCGGAUGUGAAAGCCCUGGGCUCAACCUAGGAAGUGCACUCGAAACUGCAGAACUGGAGUCCUGGAGAGGAAGGCGGAAUUCUCGGUGUAGAGGUGAAAUUCGUAGAUAUCGAGAGGAACACCGGUGGCGAAGGCGGCCUUCUGGACAGUGACUGACGCUGAGACGGCGAAAGCGUGGGGAGCAAACAGGG
RNAcentral lists this ribosomal RNA (255 nucleotides) under uncultured bacterium. RNAcentral describes it as "partial 16S ribosomal RNA". It matches the Rfam family "Bacterial small subunit ribosomal RNA", at positions 524 to 777 of the family's 1533-position model. The record is from RNAcentral.